This 450-nucleotide ribosomal RNA is filed under the name Triticum aestivum (bread wheat). Its description in RNAcentral is "partial small subunit ribosomal RNA". The record is from RNAcentral. Lineage: Eukaryota; Viridiplantae; Streptophyta; Magnoliopsida; Poales; Poaceae.
AUGGCGACUUCAAACAGGAGUGGUGGAACGGUUCCGGAAGCAAUGGCCAAUCCUCUGCCUCGGCUGCUGAGGCGUGCAGAGUCUGAGCAGAGAAAAGAAGGGGAAGGCACAUGCCCAUCAGUUGUCCAGUCUGGAACGCUCCGGGUGGGUCCGCAGGUGGCAGCCCCGAUGCAGCAGAUGGGGCAAGUUCUCGUGCUGGCGGCCACUAAGGACGGAAACCAAGAACCCCAAGGAGGAGUGGCCACUGGGCAAUCGGUUACGGCCAAAACGAGUGCAGAGCCUGCUGUGGUUGUGCCUCCUGUCGCUUCGGAGAAGAUAGGACCAGGAUCCCAAGGCGGUGGGGAAAUUGGGCCCCCGGAUGUGACCAAUCCUGUCGCACCGCGGGAAGAGCCGACACGUGCGUUGGCGAGCGCGCCCCCCCGUGUUCACGCAGGACACAGCGGCACAUGA